UACGGGAGGCAGCAGUGGGGAAUCUUGCGCAAUGGGCGAAAGCCUGACGCAGCAACGCCGCGUGCGGGAUGAAGGCCUUCGGGCUGUAAACCGCUUUCAGCAGGAACGAAAAUGACGGUACCUGCAGAAGAAGGAGCGGCCAACUACGUGCCAGCAGCCGCGGUGACACGUAGGCUCCAAGCGUUGUCCGGAUUUAUUGGGCGUAAAGAGCUCGUAGGCGGUUUAGUAAGUCGGGUGUUAAAACUUUGGGCUCAACCCGGAGAGGCCAUCCGAUACUGCUGUGACUUGAGUUCAGGAGGGGAGCGGGGAAUUCCUAGUGUAGCGGUGAAAUGCGCAGAUAUUAGGAGGAACACCGGUGGCGAAGGCGCCGCUCUGGACUGAAACUGACGCUGAGGAGCGAAAGCAUGGGUAGCAAACAGGAUUAGAUACCCUGGUAGUCCAUGCCGAAACGGUGGGCACUAGGUGUGGGUUCCAACUAACGGGAUCCGCGCCGUCGCUAACGCAUAA
Molecule: ribosomal RNA, 507 nt
Filed under: uncultured Actinomycetes bacterium
Lineage: Bacteria; Bacillati; Actinomycetota; Actinomycetes
Description: bacterial SSU rRNA
Rfam family: Bacterial small subunit ribosomal RNA
Source: RNAcentral